AUAAGUGCUUCUUAUUAAGCACUUGGGUUGGAGCAAAAACCUGCAGCCAUUGCGACCCUCCAGGACUAUGAUUGAGGACCCCUGCGCUACAGUGUCCUACCUCUAGUUCACCCCCACAUCUAGUGUCUUACACUUAACAGACAAUUGUUUUAUCCUGCAAUUCACCAACAGGUCCAGAAGUCGAGAUAGCAACUAAAUGGAUAGGAAUUUCAGGAUUACUAGGGGCACUACUAGGAGGAUUACUGGGAGCUCUUCUGUACUACUUACAGAGACGCUGCUCUAAAAAAGACACUCAAGAACAUGAACUACGAUCUGAGUGCUGUUCCUUAAUUUCUGAACAGAGAAGAGAUUCUAUGGAGGAUAUCCGUGUAAAUAUGUGAUAAUGUAUCAUCUCCUAAACACAAAGAACACAACUGACUUUCCUCCUUGAGUAUCAAGAUUUCAGACAUGGCUGACCAAGAAAUGUUCCUCCAUUCUGUUGAAUUACGUGGCUGAAAUAGGUUGUAGUGUCAAUGGUGGACUGAGAAUCUGCUACUAUUACUGAUUUUUGUCACAUA
Molecule: long non-coding RNA, 557 nt
Organism: Polypterus senegalus (gray bichir)
Lineage: Eukaryota; Metazoa; Chordata; Cladistia; Polypteriformes; Polypteridae
Exons: 3
Source: RefSeq, a predicted model, not a curated record